CUCCGUAUGGAUCUUAGGGCCACCUGCAACUGCAAGGGCUCUGAAAUUGACCGGGAUUCUUCGACUGCUCCAAUGGUCUUCAAGCACAAGGGGCAAGAAGGGUCACGAAUCUGGGCCUUUGGAGUCGCUUGUUCUAAGCAUUCUGCAUGAAACACAUGACUGCAGGAUAGCACCCCAGUAAUAGGCAUGUCACCACCUCUCAUGAUUCGAUGUGAGCUCCAGGGAGACUUCUGCCACAAAAACUUUUUACAAAUUCCACACUUUUGAUCUGGCACAGCACUGUUAGGUGACCUCAGAUUCUCUAUAUCCGUAUCUUCUGCUACGUCAAACCUGUCACCAUCAAGCCCCAAAUCAUAGCUACUGGCACUACUCCAUCUAAAUCCCUCUCUUCUAGAACUCGCACUGGGGUCUGGUGAUGUCUCCAAUUUUUGAAGUUCAGUCAGGGUUUUGUAGAACUUAUACUCAACACCAGAACUGUUAUCAGGACAACAAGAUGGUGAUNNNNNNNCCUGGUAUCAACCUACCAAUACUGCUGAUAUCAGCAUCACUAAAGGUUUCACACUCUGACACAGGGUUACGGAAUACUAGAGGGUAAACGGUUUUUGACAUGUANGUCGGCUUGGAAAGUUGCAAUUGGAGAAAGCAAAAGGCCGUUUGCUAGUUGAUUCCCAAUGGCUGGACUCGGACUGUGAGGAUGGGGACCCAAAACUCGGGGAUGCUGCAUUAGCUCUAACAGGAAAUGGCCUCUCAGUGGAAGGAAACCAAGAGGUCUGGAAUCUUGAUCCUCCCACAGUUGAGACAGCAACCUCGCCUAAAUUAAACUUUUGA
This 828-nucleotide unclassified non-coding RNA is filed under the name Hevea brasiliensis (rubber tree). Lineage: Eukaryota; Viridiplantae; Streptophyta; Magnoliopsida; Malpighiales; Euphorbiaceae. The record is from RNAcentral.